RNAcentral lists this long non-coding RNA (1231 nucleotides) under Phasianus colchicus (ring-necked pheasant). RNAcentral describes it as "lncRNA (ENSPCLG00000010709.1)". The record is from RNAcentral. Lineage: Eukaryota; Metazoa; Chordata; Aves; Galliformes; Phasianidae.
GUGAAUUCUGUUUUGGUCUCCAGGAGGUCAGCUGUGACAAUUAUUGACCUUUUUGUUCAUAGUGCGUGCUGUCCUGAUGGCUCAGGAGCCCUCAGGCUUGCUGGGAGCAGCAGGAAGAAAGAAUGUGUUUAACUUGCAAGGUGCUUAGAAGGGCUGCAAAUAGCUCCUCACUGUCACACCAUGCAUGUCUUGCCUGGUGCUAUGGGAACUCCAUGGGAACCCUGGUGACCAUCGUCUGUGCCCAUGACAACAGCUUUUGGUGUCACUGCUGCAGGGUGACACAGAGCCUGGGGGCUGUGAUGGAGGUGGAGCUGAGCAGCCUGAGACUUCUGGAAAUCAAAGCUGGGCAUGGACGUGCAUGAAGAAGCAUUUCAGAGCUGGAGCUGCCUGCUUGAGUGGUGUGAGAUCUGCUAAGGGCUGAGUCCUUGCUGCAGUUUGGAAUGUUGGAGAGGCUCUGGAAGCUGCCAAGCUGGUGGUGCCCCAGCAUCCUUCUGAGAUCCGUUCCUUUAGCAAAUGUGUCUGCAAUGGACCAGGAGGUUCAGGAGCUCCCUGGGAGGGGUGGUGGAGAGGAAGGGGCAAACAAACAGUGCUGCUGCAACACUGAGCUUAAUCACAAGUGGAAAAGGGCCAGUUGUUUAGUAAACAAACAAACAGAGUUUUGGACAGGAACUGGAGAGCGCUGCUGCUCUGCGUGAGCUUGCAGAAGAACCAGUUCUGCUCAGCUUUGGCUUUUGAAGAGAAGAAACAAUUGCUGGAGAAGCUCGGCUGGGCAGCAGGCUGCUGCACUGGGCUGCUGCAUUGGGCACAGUGUAGGAAAUGAAACACAGCGCUGUGUGGGAUCGCUGCCCUGGGCGAUGGGAGAACUUGGCUUUAAAAAAAAGCAGAGAUUUCUUUUCCCUCAUCCAUUUGUGCAGAAAAACCCUCUGAGUGGGGCGUGAUUUCCUCCCUUGGCUGAGAUCACCUGCCUCUGGCUACCAGCAGCCCAGGUGUCCAAAAUAAGACGUGAGCACUCAUUGUGUUUGUUGGGCAAAGCUUGCUCUUCCUCCAACCCAGGAGCAUGUUGGGAUGUGGUGCUGAGGGCUGCCCUGUAACAUGUGGGCAUUUUGGGCUGGAGGGCUGGGAGCAGCCUGUGGGAUCACAGAAUCACAGAAUGGCCAGGGUUGGAAGGGACCUCAAGGAUCAUGAAUCUCCAACCCCCCCUGCCACAAGCAGGGUCUCCAACCUCCCCAUU